GAUGAACGCUGGCGGCGUGCCUAAUACAUGCAAGUCGAACGAACAGACGAGGAGCUUGCUCCCCUAAGGGUAGCGGCUGACGGAUGAGUAAGACAUGGAUAAGCUACUAAUUAUUCGGGGAGGACUUCGGGAAACCAGAGCUGAUACCAGCGAAUAUAUUCUACCGGAUGGUUCAAUAGUGAAUGGCAGAUUUGCUGUUUCUUAUAGAUGAAUCCGUGUCGCAUUAGCUAGUUGGUAAGGUAACGGCUUACCAAGGCAACGAUGCGUAGCCGAGCUGAGAGGGUGAUCGGCCACACUGGAACUGAGACACGGUCCAGACUCCUACGGGAGGCAGCAGUAGGGAAUCUUCGACAAUGGGCGAAAGCCUGACCGAGCCACGCCGCGUGAGUGAAGAAGGCCUUCGGAUUGUAAAACUCUGUUAUUAGGGAAGAACAGCUGCAUAAGAAAAUCUGAACGUAUUGACGGUACCCAAUCAGAAAGCAACGGCUAACUACGUG
This 497-nucleotide ribosomal RNA is filed under the name uncultured bacterium. Its description in RNAcentral is "partial 16S ribosomal RNA". It matches the Rfam family "Bacterial small subunit ribosomal RNA", at positions 28 to 507 of the family's 1533-position model. The record is from RNAcentral.